Triticum aestivum (bread wheat) is the source of this 105-nucleotide non-coding RNA. Lineage: Eukaryota; Viridiplantae; Streptophyta; Magnoliopsida; Poales; Poaceae. The record is from Rfam.
CUGCAUGAGUUGCUUUCUACUGUAAAUAUGGACAAAUAAUAAGAUUGAUGGAAUUUAGGUGAGCAUCAUGUGUCAUAGAUGCUCAUAAAGAACCAGCACACAUAC